UGCAAUCUGUUGUUGCACUGCCGAGUUUAUCUGCGUGGGAUGGCAGGGACAGAAAUCCUGAGCCGUUCAAGCCUUUCAUUUCAGUUAGUGCAGGGAUGUAAUCCAGAACUGGCUGGGUGAGUGGUUUUGGCUUGGGUCGGGGUCAAUAUCUGGACUCAUGUACAUGACAGCAAGGCAAUCAGUUGAAAUCUCCAACUGGAAACCUGCAGAAAAUAAAGGUGCAGGAGGUGCUUAUGAUGCCGUGCGAAUGCCUGGCUGCCUCUGGAAAUGACCUGUGCUGAAUCAAGUGAGCCAGCUAACCCGAUUUCUUCCAGUGGGUCCCACUUUCCAUCCCAGAAGCUGGAGCAAUGCGUGGAGUAGAAGGACUCAGCCAACGGCCAUCCUGCUAGAGGCUCAGUGUUUGACUUUUAGCUGUUGCAGGGUGCCAUGCCAUGUUAACACUGGUAGGUGUGCUAACAUGAACUGCAAAACUAAACCAGAGAUUUCAAAUAGGAACCCAUAG
Long non-coding RNA from Gavialis gangeticus (Gharial), 502 nucleotides. RefSeq lists it as uncharacterized. NCBI's taxonomy places the organism in Eukaryota, Metazoa, Chordata, Crocodylia, Gavialidae. The transcript has 3 exons. The record is from RefSeq and is a predicted model, not a curated record.